RNAcentral lists this long non-coding RNA (482 nucleotides) under Mytilus galloprovincialis (Mediterranean mussel). Lineage: Eukaryota; Metazoa; Mollusca; Bivalvia; Mytilida; Mytilidae. The record is from RNAcentral.
GCUGUACAAUAAGUACACAGGAACCAGUUAGAAUCUAAAUUCCUACAAAAUACUUUGAAAAUAUUCAUGAUUUGUUACUACUGUGGGUUCAUUUAUUGUUGUGGAUACCAAUUUUGGUUUAAGGGGGUCUCAUUGGGGGUUCUGAUCCCGGAUCCCGCUUACUGUUUUUUCAGAUUCCCGUAUCCCGCUUACACUAUGUACGUAUGCAAUUCUCAUAUUUUUGUCAUUUCCCGGGUCCCGCUAGACCUCAUUUCCCGUUUUCACGACACAAUAAUUUGACUUUCACGCGUCAAGCUUACAAAAAAUCGGCAAUCCCGCCUCACGCUUAGACCCCAAUGAGACCCACUUUAAGGGAAAAGUGCAUAUUCGUGGAAAUUUAAAUUCAUGGUUUUGUCAAAGUCUGCAUACAUUCAUUCCUGUAGAAAAAUUUGCAAUUCGUUGAAUUUUUAGAUUUGAAUAGAUUUAUGGUUCCCUCGUACCAC